This is a long non-coding RNA of Oryzias melastigma (Indian medaka), 828 nucleotides long. RefSeq lists it as uncharacterized. Lineage: Eukaryota; Metazoa; Chordata; Actinopteri; Beloniformes; Adrianichthyidae. The transcript has 3 exons. The record is from RefSeq and is a predicted model, not a curated record.
GAUGGACAACAAUUAAGUUCCUUUUUUUUUUUAAGGAGAGAUGUCCUGGGUUGUGUCACUAAACUUCCUCAAAAAAGUGAGAUGAAGAAAAAAAGGACUGAUACAAAUACUUGCACUACUUCUUCAAUUUCUCAGCUUGUCCUCACGUCAGUUUUGAAGAAUUGCCACAGAGGUUAUAAGUGGAAACACUUAUCCUGUUUAACGUUUUUUUUUUUUUGGAGUUGCUGGGUGUUUUAGAAACUUGUUUUUGCUCCAAAUACUGAAAUACAUUCAGAUUGCUUAUUGGAAAUAAACUAGAGGCUUCUUUAAUUAAAGCAUAGGAGUAAUGGACGAGAGGCUGUUUCAUCUCCUUUUAGCAAGUCUGAUUUUCUCUGGGAGAAGCAUCAGUUCUUCUGAAGGAGCCUCAGUUCUGGGACGACAAUACUGUUCUGGAUAUUAUGGAUUCUGCAUUUCUGUCAGUGAUGAAGAAAUCACAGCAGAACCAGGACUUUGUGUUGUGAUACCGUGUUCUUUCACAACUCCUUCUUACUUCAAACCUCAACAUUUGGUUUGGUUUAAAUGUGAAUAUAACCAAAGAUGUGGUGACUCUGAGAUAAUCUUCCACACCAACAAAAACACACAAAAAAACAUUAAAUCCGAAUUUAUGGGAAGAGUGUCACUCCUGGAUCCUGAUGUGAAUCAUCAGAACUGUAGCAUCAGAAUCAGUGAUCUGAGAGAGUCUGAUUCUGGAUUCUAUCAGCUCAGAGUAAAUGGAUAUAGUGAUGGGGCCUCGGAUGGAUUUACAUUUAAUAAGAGAACGUCUGUCAUUGUUGGAGGUAAGACAAACUA